RNAcentral lists this ribosomal RNA (253 nucleotides) under uncultured bacterium. Its description in RNAcentral is "partial 16S ribosomal RNA". It matches the Rfam family "Bacterial small subunit ribosomal RNA", at positions 524 to 776 of the family's 1533-position model. The record is from RNAcentral.
UACGUAGGAGGCAAGCGUUGUCCGGAUUUACUGGGCGUAAAGAGCGCGCAGGCGGUCGAUCAAGUCGAGUGUGAAAGCCCCCGGCUCAACUGGGGAGGGUCAUUCGAUACUGAUCGACUCGAAGGCAGGAGAGGGUAGUGGAAUUCCCGGUGUAGUGGUGAAAUGCGUAGAUAUCGGGAGGAACACCAGUGGCGAAGGCGACUACCUGGCCUGUUCUUGACGCUGAGGCGCGAAAGCUAGGGGAGCAAACGGG